ACAUUCCAUCUUUUAUGAUAAAAAUUAUUUCACAUAAUUUAAAUAUGCUUUAUAGCCUUUUAGCAUAAGUGAUACAUUUUUUUCCUUAUAACAGCACUUCAAUUUUAUUUUGGAGUAAAACAGCUUCUGAGAGAAGAAAAUCUACAAAUAUUCUCUUACUAUCAGUUUGAAGUUAAACCAAGGACUAUACAAAAACAACUUUUUUUUUUUUAACUAAAUGAGAAGUUAUUUACCCAUUUCUAUCACCUGAUGUUAGUACAGGAGAAUUUUUGCAAAGCUUUAAUGAUUCAGAAACAAAUAGCAAAAAAAAAAAAUUAAAAUCUUUGAUUCUGAAAAGGUAAAUUUUUAGGUGCUGCAAAUUUCUCAAAAUUAUCUACGUAUUAGGUUGCACUGAAAUAUUUAUGUGUGUUAAGUUAUAUUGAGAUAUUUAGAUGCUCGUGUUACUACUGAGGAAUAUCUGUUCACAUUUAUUUAUAUUACAUUGACAAAAUAGCAGUCCUAUAAUUCAAGAAAACACUAAAUUUCAAAAGUUUGGAUAAAUAUAAAAAUGCAUUUUGAGCUCUGCUGGUUUAAGCA
Molecule: long non-coding RNA, 576 nt
Filed under: Bos taurus (domestic cattle)
Lineage: Eukaryota; Metazoa; Chordata; Mammalia; Artiodactyla; Bovidae
Description: long non-coding RNA NONBTAT007643
Source: RNAcentral